GGGCGUUUGGCACAGUGGUAGCGCGUUCGCUUUGCAUGGUCGUUUAGAUUCAGCUUGCGAAAAGUCCAGGGUUCAAUCCCCUGAACGUCCA
Molecule: transfer RNA, 91 nt
Filed under: Coprinopsis cinerea okayama7#130
Lineage: Eukaryota; Fungi; Basidiomycota; Agaricomycetes; Agaricales; Psathyrellaceae
Also listed under: 1 other name
Rfam family: tRNA
About the family: Transfer RNA (tRNA) molecules are approximately 80 nucleotides in length. Their secondary structure includes four short double-helical elements and three loops (D, anti-codon, and T loops). Further hydrogen bonds mediate the characteristic L-shaped molecular structure. tRNAs have two regions of fundamental functional importance: the anti-codon, which is responsible for specific mRNA codon recognition, and the 3' end, to which the tRNAs corresponding amino acid is attached (by aminoacyl-tRNA synthetases). tRNAs cope with the degeneracy of the genetic code in two manners: having more than one tRNA (with a specific anti-codon) for a particular amino acid; and 'wobble' base-pairing, i.e. permitting non-standard base-pairing at the 3rd anti-codon position.
Source: Rfam by way of RNAcentral